UGGGGAAUAUUGCACAAUGGGCGCAAGCCUGAUGCAGCCAUGCCGCGUGUAUGAAGAAGGCCUUCGGGUUGUAAAGUACUUUCAGUCGGGAGGAAGGUGUCAAGGUUAAUAACCUUGGCAAUUGACGUUACCGACAGAAGAAGCACCGGCUAACUCCGUGCCAGCAGCCGCGGUAAUACGGAGGGUGCAAGCGUUAAUCGGAAUUACUGGGCGUAAAGCGCACGCAGGCGGUCUGUCAAGUCGGAUGUGAAAUCCCCGGGCUCAACCUGAGAACUGCAUUCGAAACUGGCAGGCUAGAGUCUUGUAGAGGGGGGUAGAAUUCCAUGUGUAGCGGUGAAAUGCGUAGAGAUGUGGAGGAAUACCGGUGGCGAAGGCGGCCCCCUGGACAAAGACUGACGCUCAGGUGCGAAAGCGUGGGGAGCAAACAGG
RNAcentral lists this ribosomal RNA (429 nucleotides) under Chloroflexota bacterium. RNAcentral's name for it is "Chloroflexi bacterium partial 16S ribosomal RNA". It matches the Rfam family "Bacterial small subunit ribosomal RNA", at positions 355 to 776 of the family's 1533-position model. The record is from RNAcentral. Lineage: Bacteria; Bacillati; Chloroflexota.